UAAUACGAACUGCGCGAACGUUAUUCGGAAUCACUGGGCUUAAAGGGUGCGUAGGCGGCCUGUUAAGUAGGGUGUGAAAUUUGUCGGCUCAACCGGCAAACUGCAUUCUAAACUGGCAGGCUUGAGUGAGUCAGGGGUGUGCGGAACUUCCGGUGGAGCGGUGAAAUGCGUUGAUAUCGGAAGGAACGCCGGUGGCGAAAGCGGCACACUGGGGCUUUUCUGACGCUGAGGCACGAAAGCUAGGGGAGCGAACAGGAUUAGAUACCCUGGUAGUCCUAGCCGUAAACGAUGAAUACUGGGUUGGGGGAGCAUGUCUCUCCCAGCCGUAGCGAAAGCGUUAAGUAUUCCGCCUGGGGAGUAUGGUCGCAAGGCUG
Molecule: ribosomal RNA, 374 nt
Filed under: uncultured Planctomycetota bacterium
Lineage: Bacteria; Pseudomonadati; Planctomycetota
Description: bacterial SSU rRNA
Rfam family: Bacterial small subunit ribosomal RNA
Source: RNAcentral